Molecule: ribosomal RNA, 526 nt
Filed under: uncultured bacterium
Lineage: Bacteria
Description: partial 16S ribosomal RNA
Rfam family: Bacterial small subunit ribosomal RNA
Source: RNAcentral
ACUCAAAUGAAUAGACGGAGGUCCGUACAAACGGUGGAGCAUGUGGUUUAAUUCGAUAUAACGCGCAGAACCUUACCAAUCUUUGACGGUUAAAAAUUGAUAAAAUGAAAAUUUUAUUACAAUUUAAUUUAAGAUUUAUUUUUAAAUUAAAUUAUUUUAAGCAGGUGCUGCAUGGCUGUCGUCAGCUCGUGUCGUGAGAUGUUUGGUUUAGUCCUUUAACGAGCGAAAUCCUUGUUUUUAAUUAUAAAAUUAUUUUAGUGUAAUUUAAAUUAAAAAUACUGCCUGUGAAUAAUUGGAGGAAGGAAAGGAAGACGUCAAGUCUUCAUGGCCCUGAUAGAUUGGGCUACACACAUGCUACAAUGGUAAUUACAAUGGGAAGCAAUAAUGUGAAUUAAAGCAAAGCCUUAAAAAUUAUCUUAGUUCAGAUUGUUCUCUGCAAGUCGAGAAUAUGAAGUCGGAAUCGUUAGUAAUCGCAAAUCAGCAUGUUGCGGUGAAAUGUUUUCCGGACCUCGCACACACCGCCCGU